Molecule: long non-coding RNA, 1352 nt
Filed under: Homo sapiens (human)
Lineage: Eukaryota; Metazoa; Chordata; Mammalia; Primates; Hominidae
Description: non-protein coding lnc-LMBRD1-5:3
Source: RNAcentral
AUGCACAGCUGCGGUGCGCCCCGCCGCCCGCCAGAGGCUCGGCUCGCGCGGCGCGGCCGCUGCGACUUCCUGGAGUUCUGCCUGCCGGGGGCGCGGGCGGGUGUGUGAGAGAGAAGGCGAAGGGAGCCGCGGGGUGGGAGAGGAGGGAGUCCCGGCGGGAGGGCGGGGGAGAGGCUGGCGGGAGGGGGGCUCCACGGAGCUCCAGCCAGGGCCGCGGUUCGCCUGCACGUCACGGCUACUCAAACCCAAGCACGUCCCGAAAGCGGUAUUUUCUGCGUCUGGGAGGUUUUUGCAUCCUCAGUUCCCACCGCUGGGGCUGGCGGCGACCAACUGUAAGAGAAACUCACUGGGAGGCGAGGCAGGGGGGUGCGGAGGAUGGGAAGGCGACUCUGAAGGGUGGGAAGUGAAUGCUGGACUUGAUCGUCUUUCUCUUUCUUUCAGCGCAGACCUGUCGCAGCCAGAGAGCUGUCAUUUCAGUACCGGGAUUCAGAAUUGAUCCAGUCCGCAGCGGAGGGGGCACAUCCCAGCUACCGAGCUGCUGAGUGUCUCUGGCUGGAACAAUAGUAUUUUUUUCUCUGCGAGGCUGCAAUUAACAUCUUAUUUGUUCUGGCUCCAUACAGGCUUUGUCAGGAUCGCGGUGCGGCGACCGACGUUGGGCUCUUGCAUUGCUUUGUGCUUGGCAAUGGAAUCAUGGUUUCGGGAUAGUCAUUUUGCCUCCUGGACAGUUGGCUGACGAAGUGUCUGAUAAACCAGCUUCAGAUACAUGCUACAAAAGAAGUCCCACUUUAUCAUUAAUGAUGACAAUAACUAAGGCUGCCAGGAACAGCACAUCUGCUGAGCUUUAUCAACACCAGAUUCUCUCAUUUUGCCUUCUGGAUCUCCAUGCUUUUUUAUACCAACAAACAAGAGGAAGAAUAUUCUCUACCCACUUCCUUGACUGAAGCCUGCUCUUUUAUGAAGACAUGGCAUCUCUUCCAACCGUGUCAAACAGAUGCAAUUUAUAUGUCUGCUGCUUCCAUACCCUGAUUAAAUGGGUCAGUGGCAGAAUCAGUAUCCUUAGUCUCCCCUUUGGUUUCAAAUAUGUACUCCUUAUUUCAGUUUCAUGCUCACCUUUCUGUAGAGACCAAGGCAUCUGCCUUUGCAGCUUUACCUCUUCCUCCAGGUUAUAGUUUCCAUUCAUGGAAUCUUUUAGCUGCUGGCUGGCAGUUUUCCUGUCUACCUGACUUCCAUUCCUCUUCUCAUGACUUCAGCUCCCAUGCAGAUGUCUUAUCCUGACAUACUAGCUUCUCCAUUCUAUUUCUGUGUGUGUGUGUCUGUGUGUUUCCCUACUAGUUCAUCCACAUUUCCCUAUG